AGCAGCCGCGGUAAUUCCAGCUCCAAUAGCGUAUAUUAAAGUUGUUGCAGUUAAAAAGCUCGUAGUUGAAUUUCGGGAUCAGUACGCUGGUCGUGCCUUCGGUAUGAACUGGUGUCACUGAUUCCUCCCUUCUGAAGAACCGUCAUGCCAUUCAGUUGGUGUGGCGGGAAAUCAGGACUGUUACCUUGAAAAAUUAGAGUGUUUAAAGCAGGCUCGCGCUUGAAUACAUUAGCAUGGAAUAAUGAAAUAGGACGUUUGACCCUAUUUUGUUGGUUUCUAGGAUCGACGUAAUGAUUAAUAGGGAUAGUUGGGGGCAUUAGAUUCAAUUGUCAGAGGUGAAAUUCUUGGAUUUAUGAAGACUAACUACUGCGAAAGCAUUUGCCUAAGGAUGUUUUCAUUAAUCAAGAACGAAAGUUAGGGGAUCGAAGACGAUCAGAUACCGUCGUAGUCUUAACCAUAAACCUAUGCCGACUAGGAUCGGAUGAUGUUAAUUUUAUGA
This 499-nucleotide ribosomal RNA is filed under the name uncultured Glomus. RNAcentral describes it as "SSU rRNA". It matches the Rfam family "Eukaryotic small subunit ribosomal RNA", at positions 569 to 1074 of the family's 1831-position model. Lineage: Eukaryota; Fungi; Glomeromycota; Glomeromycetes; Glomerales; Glomeraceae. The record is from RNAcentral.